RNAcentral lists this ribosomal RNA (487 nucleotides) under uncultured Pseudomonadota bacterium. Its description in RNAcentral is "bacterial SSU rRNA". It matches the Rfam family "Bacterial small subunit ribosomal RNA", at positions 224 to 704 of the family's 1533-position model. Lineage: Bacteria; Pseudomonadati; Pseudomonadota. The record is from RNAcentral.
GAUGAGCCCGCGGCCCAUCAGCUAGUUGGCGGGGUAAUGGCCCACCAAGGCGACGACGGGUAGCUGGUCUGAGAGGACGAUCAGCCACACUGGAACUGAGACACGGUCCAGACUCCUACGGGAGGCAGCAGUGGGGAAUUUUGCGCAAUGGGCGAAAGCCUGACGCAGCAACGCCGCGUGUGUGAUGAAGGUCUUCGGAUCGUAAAGCACUUUCGACCGGGACGAAAACCCGUUGGCUAAUAUCCAACGGCUUGACGGUACCGGGAGAAGAAGCACCGGCUAACUCUGUGCCAGCAGCCGCGGUAAUACAGAGGGUGCGAGCGUUGUUCGGAAUUAUUGGGCGUAAAGCGCGUGUAGGCGGCUUUGCAAGUCGGGUGUGAAAGCCCUCGGCUCAACCGAGGAAGUGCGCCCGAAGCUGCAUGGCUUGAGUACCGGAGAGGAUGGCGGAAUUCCCGAAGUAGAGGUGAAAUUCGUAGAUAUCGGGAGG